UUUUCACUCGUUGUUUACAGCCGGGAAUUGUACUUCAGGAAUUGACAGGCAGAUUCGGUCUUUUUCAUUCCGAACGUCAUCCAGUGCACACGGAAAAUAUCUUUUAAAAUCUUGGCGUGCUCAAAGAAGUGACUUUAAUUUUGGAAUGGAAAAGAUGCUAGAACCCAAAUUUGAUGAUAGUAUUAUGAAAGUUUCGUGACAAAUAUGAUUAUUGCUUCAUAUAAUUGAAAUGGAUAAAAAUGUAUUAACAUUGCAAUAUGCAGAUGACGAUGAACCCUUAUCGAAAUGGGUCUCGUAUUAAAUGAUGCUCGGGAAGACUGUAUGGUUAGCAUAAUCCAACAUUACCACGCUAUGCCGUCGUAAAAGUGCAUUUAAACGUGAGCAACCAACAUCCCAAAAACGGCGUGUUCUGUGGUGUAUGGGAAAGAUAUUUUCAUUGUUGGAAAGCAAUUGUCUACGAAGACAUUUGGAAGGAUGAACUUAAGGUUCUGAAUUUAAAUAAUUUCAACAAAAUAAUAAAAAGCAAUUCAAUAAAAAAAGUUAUUCAAAACUCAAA
This is a long non-coding RNA of Zeugodacus cucurbitae (melon fly), 556 nucleotides long. RefSeq lists it as uncharacterized. NCBI's taxonomy places the organism in Eukaryota, Metazoa, Arthropoda, Insecta, Diptera, Tephritidae. The record is from RefSeq and is a predicted model, not a curated record. The transcript is spliced from 6 exons.